AGUGAACGCUGGCGGCAGGCCUAACACAUGCAAGUCGAACGGCAGCACAGUAAGAGCGUGCUCUUACGGGUGGCGAGUGGCGGACGGGUGAGGAAUACAUCGGAAUCUACUUUUUCGGGGGGGAUAAGGUAGGGAAACUUACGCUAAGACCGCAUACGCCCUACGGGGGAAAGCAGGGGAACGUCGGACCGUGCGGGAUUGAAUGAGCGGAUGUCGGGUUAGCUAGUGGGGGGGGUAAAGGCCCACCAAGGGGAGGAUCCGUAGCCGGUCUGAGAGGAUGGUCGGCCACCCUGGAGCUUGGCCACGCUCCAGACUCCUGCGGGAGGCCGCAGUGGGCAAUAUUGGACAAUGGGCGGAAGCCUGGCCCAGCCAUCCCGCGUGGGUUACGACGGCCUUCGGGUUGUAAAGCCCUUUUGUUGGGAAAGAACAGCAGCCGGUUGAUACCCCGCUGUUCUGACGGUACCCAAAGAAUAAGCACCGGCUAACUUCGUG
Molecule: ribosomal RNA, 492 nt
Filed under: uncultured bacterium
Lineage: Bacteria
Description: partial 16S ribosomal RNA
Rfam family: Bacterial small subunit ribosomal RNA
Source: RNAcentral